UCCUGGUGGCUCAGACGGUAAAGAAUUUGUCUGCAAUACAGGAGACCUGGGUUCAAUUCCCGGGUCAGGAA
RNAcentral lists this transfer RNA (71 nucleotides) under Ovis aries (sheep). It matches the Rfam family "tRNA". Rfam says of the family: Transfer RNA (tRNA) molecules are approximately 80 nucleotides in length. Their secondary structure includes four short double-helical elements and three loops (D, anti-codon, and T loops). Lineage: Eukaryota; Metazoa; Chordata; Mammalia; Artiodactyla; Bovidae. The record is from Rfam by way of RNAcentral.